This 124-nucleotide small RNA is filed under the name Sodalis glossinidius str. 'morsitans'. Its description in RNAcentral is "His_leader". It matches the Rfam family "Histidine operon leader". Rfam says of the family: At least 6 amino acid operons are known to be regulated by attenuation. In each a leader sequence of 150-200 bp is found upstream of the first gene in the operon. Lineage: Bacteria; Pseudomonadati; Pseudomonadota; Gammaproteobacteria; Enterobacterales; Bruguierivoracaceae. The record is from RNAcentral.
CCAUCAUCGCCAUCAUCCUGACUAGUCUUUCAGGUGAUGAGUGCUGGAAGACGCUUUAAUCUUCCAGUGGCGCAAGAAUGUUCAGAGAGAGCCCUCGGAAGAUUUCUUCCGAGGGCUUUUUGGC